CACUUUGGUGGCUUUAGUGGUUAUAGUUUCCGCCUGGGAUGCGGGAGGUGGUGGGUUCGAACCCCGGUCGAGUCA
This is a non-coding RNA of Potamilus streckersoni, 75 nucleotides long. The record is from the annotation of a GenBank genome assembly. NCBI's taxonomy places the organism in Eukaryota, Metazoa, Mollusca, Bivalvia, Unionida, Unionidae.